AGUUGGUUUUGUGGACGAUGUUUCUUUAGCAUUAUGUUAGUCUCUAUCUGCAUGAGAUAUGUGCAUGACACAGCACCAUGUUUAUAUGAAAUCUCGCCUUACACUUGCAGUCAGAUGUGAUUUGCUUGUAGCUGGCCUAUAACUCCUCCGAUGAACUCAAACCCUAGAAAGAAAUAAAAUAAUGUUGCCCGGGCUCCUCAUUUUGCUAGGUAGUCGCGUGACUUAACUUUCCUUGUCUAGUCCAAUUGUUAGUCUCACUGUAGUAAUCUGUUAACUCUCUUUAUCCUGAAGUACUGCUCUCCCUGCCAGCUUUGAUCUAAACCACAACAGGGAGAGGACAUUCCACUCUGAACUCUACUCUAUUGCUAGCUUCUUCUUAGACAUAUAGGAAUUUGUUAUCUUACUUAUAUGUUAGUCAUGCUCUUUGUGUGAUGGCUUCUCUGGUGUUUUGGAUUUACUAUGUGGAUUGUAGUGAUGAUGGUGAUGUCAGCCGUGGAAUCAUGACUGGAUAAGAUAUUUAUAGCUGUGCAUAUGUUGCUUUUAAUAUCUGAAAAACAUCUCUUCGGUGUGAGAUUUUUAGCUGAGCCCCCUUUGUCGACAAAACUAUUAGCUGUUGGGAACUGCAGUAAACCAUUAUUCUAUCCCUUAAACUAGCCAAAGAUUGUUAAGUCCAUUAAACACUGUUUGCACUUUGCAAGAACCUUUGUGAAGGGAAUUCCUUUUUCUUUUUUCACAUUUACUCGUCCCUGUUGAAGAAUAUAUCUUUCCAUCACUGUUUUUAUGUACUUUACUGUUUGAUUUAUUUUCCUGGCUCCCAUAUUUUUACGAAUCCAAAUUGAGGGUACUUUCUGCUAUUUUACUUGGAAUAUCAGCUUUAGCAGUGGCAAAUAAAGAAAUGCAUUCUGUUUCCCAGGAUUAACUCAUGGCUAAUGGUUAAGUGUGAUACCUUUGAAGGGUUUUGAUAUGUUAUUGUCUGUGAUGAACAGAAAUUGCCCCAUUGACUUGAGUUAAGUGUGAUACCUUUAAAGGGUUUUCAUAUGUUAUUGUAUGUGAUGAACAGAAAUUGCCCCAUUGACUUGAAGGAAGCAAUUACCAGUGUAGUGUUUGCUUCACCAAGAUGUGGAGACAUACCAGAACUUCUAGAUGUGCGGAAGCAUUUU
RNAcentral lists this long non-coding RNA (1160 nucleotides) under Nicotiana benthamiana. RNAcentral's name for it is "long non-coding RNA (NBEN_LNC007103)". The record is from RNAcentral. Lineage: Eukaryota; Viridiplantae; Streptophyta; Magnoliopsida; Solanales; Solanaceae.